RNAcentral lists this ribosomal RNA (539 nucleotides) under uncultured bacterium. RNAcentral describes it as "bacterial SSU rRNA". It matches the Rfam family "Bacterial small subunit ribosomal RNA", at positions 355 to 895 of the family's 1533-position model. The record is from RNAcentral.
UGAGGAAUAUUGGUCAAUGGACGAGAGUCUGAACCAGCCAAGUAGCGUGCAGGAUGACGGCCCUAUGGGUUGUAAACUGCUUUUGUAUGGGGAUAAAGUCAAUCACGUGUGAUUGUUUGCAGGUACCAUACGAAUAAGGACCGGCUAAUUCCGUGCCAGCAGCCGCGGUAAUACGGAAGGUCCGGGCGUUAUCCGGAUUUAUUGGGUUUAAAGGGAGCGUAGGCUGGAGAUUAAGUGUGUUGUGAAAUGUAGACGCUCAACGUCUGACUUGCAGCGCAUACUGGUUUCCUUGAGUACGCACAACGUUGGCGGAAUUCGUCGUGUAGCGGUGAAAUGCUUAGAUAUGACGAAGAACUCCGAUUGCGAAGGCAGCUGACGGGAGCGCAACUGACGCUGAAGCUCGAAGGUGCGGGUAUCGAACAGGAUUAGAUACCCUGGUAGUCCGCACAGUAAACGAUGGAUGCCCGCUGUUGGUACGUGGUAUCAGCGGCUAAGCGAAAGCAUUAAGCAUCCCACCUGGGGAGUACGCCGGCAACGGU